UAAUUUGUACAAAUAUUUAUUGCUUGAGGUUUAUUCAAAUCAACUAUGACGCUACUAAAACUAGUAGAGAAAAUUUUUAAAUGUGAAAACAUUUCAACAAAACAUUCAAAUGUUACAGCAUUCAGGCUUUUGUUAUAAUAUUGCUUGUUCAGAAUUCAAUAACAUCACUUUGGUAUCAACAAAUAGACAAAUCCAGAAGUACAUAUACAAUGUACAUGUGGUAAAACAAAAAGAUUUUCCAUUGAGUAUAUAUGAAAUAAACAAGAAAUGCAAAUGAUUAAACAGAAAAUGUUACUGGGGUGUUGAGUUUUAAUAUGAUCAAAUCUCACACAGAUGUGGCUUUUGCAUGUAAGGUUGUAAAAACAUCGACAUUAAUUGCACAUCUCUUAAGACAAACCCAGGCCUUGUAAUGUAAAGAAUUUAAUGAAUAUUAAGUAAAUUAUUUCUAUGAGAAAAUCUGAAAUGAAAUAGGACUAUUUAAUGACUGACUUAGCAUUAUCAUAGCAAAAAGCUCGAAUGAUAUCAAAAAGUACCCUCGAAAUGUAAUGGUACACAGAGCAACCAGUUUCUUUGAUCAACACAUUACCUACAUGAUAAGUGACAGCACAUGACAAAUUUUAUUUACUCCACCAGCUUAUGCCUGGAGAUUUGGAGCUAGACUAGGUUGUUUUUUUUGUGUCUUUAAAGAAAUUCCAAUAUUUCUUACAACUCACACUUGAGCUAUCAAACACUUGGCCAACCUUCUCCUUGCAUGCUGUAAGGUCUUGCAAAAAUCUAUGACGAAGAAAGGUAGAAAAAAAGAAAACUGAUGGGAGAUAUGAAGGACAUGGGCUUUUAUUUCUUCUGAUUUCUUCUGGUAAGCUGAACUGACACAUGGAGAUGAAGUUGGUUAGCAUUAGUGUACAAUUGAAGUUUUUUUUUUGUUUUGGAGUGAAGGCGAUUUUUUUUUUAAACAAGAAGGAAAAAGACACAUUUGUAGAAUUACUUGUCCAUAUAAUUAUCCUUAACAUAGAACUCUAUGUAGCAUAUGUAUAAUGCUCAAAUACUUUAUGUAAUAUUAGUAACUCUGUACAUUUGUCUUUUUACUUUUAUUAUGUGUCCCACAUUCAUUUGGAAUAGGAUUGAAUAAUUUAAAGCUAUAUAGUAUAUAAUAUUACAGUAAGAUGAAAAUUAUGUAAUAUGAAUAAUUACAAAUCAUACAAUCCUAAAUUUUCAUACAUUGUAACAGAAGAUAUUUCCUUCUUAAAAAAACAAACACAUUCAUUCAUGCACAGUUUUACUUACUAAAAAAAAAGGAAAAUAUUAUAUUUCAACUACUAAAA
This is a non-coding RNA of Biomphalaria pfeifferi, 1322 nucleotides long. NCBI's taxonomy places the organism in Eukaryota, Metazoa, Mollusca, Gastropoda, Planorbidae. The record is from the annotation of a GenBank genome assembly.